CGGAUCCACUCCUCUCCCACACUCCCUCACCUCCCCCCUCCCUCCCCCUGCCCACGCCCCACAUACCUGGGCUCCUGCCCCUUCCACCCCUCUCUGCUCCCUCCCUGCCCCCUUCCCUUCCUCCCCUCCCCUUUAUCUCACCUUCACCCCCUUUCCUCCUACACCCCUUCCGUGUCCCCACCCCCUGCCCUCAGUCCUCCUUCCUCCUCUUCCCCACAUCCCACCUCUCCUUUCCCCCUCCUUGUAGGCCCUCUUUCUCCUCAGCCCCCCUCCCCCCGCCUUUAGUCUCCUACCUCCCCUACAGCCUCCUGCCCCCGCCUCCUCACAGCCCCCUACUUACCCUACUGCCUCCCUCCUGGGGCCCUUUCCUCCCCAAGGGCCCCUCUGUUUUCUCCCAUUCCAGCCCCUGACCAGGCCCUGCUCCUCUGCUGGGGUCGGCCCCGCACAGUAAGCUGCCUGGGAGCCCUCAUUGCCUUCCUGGGCAACCCGGCCAAAGGCCCCCCGAGCAGCUGCAGCCCUGGAGGUCAGCCUCACCCUGGCAGACCGCAGGGGCCCCUCCUCACCGCCGACCUCUGCACCUUCACCCGUUUGCCUGGUGUCUGAGGAAGGGCCCGCAGGAAGAGCAUUCCUUUCCCAGGGUCUUCCUCAGGAGGGAUGAGAGGAAGCAAAAGCUUGGUCUGCAAACGGGCUGGUCCUCCCGACGGCCACAUCCGCAGGAAUGACCCUCAGAGGGGCUCCCCAACUGGCUGGGAGAUUCGUCCAGCUGGGCGCUCUGCUACACAGCCCCGUCAAGGGCAAACAGAUGACAAAACUGAGACACAAAAGAUGAAUCAGCUUGGCAGUGUUCACAGAGCCAGCGUGUGGAAAAGCCAGAAUCCAGACCCAGACCCGAACUGCAGCGUCCCGGCUCUUACCCCUAACCAGCCAGUGCCUCUCAGCUUAGUGCUCUUCCACCCGGCUUUUCUUUCUAAAAACUGUUGCUCUCCUGAAAACCGUCUCGCUCAUUUUUGCCGGUUCCCAGUGCUGUGCGUCCUCAUCGCAUUGGUUCGUGCUCCAGGGCCCUGCCCACGCACAUAUGUGCUGCACUCCUUCCCUCCUGCCUCCUGCCUCUGUGUUGCCCUGGGGCUAACAGCUUAUGACUUGCCAAACAGAAUCAUAAGGAGAGGUGUGUGGCUGAUGUGGCAUCACGCAGGCUUGGAAAGGCCACUUGUUAUUGGGAUAAGCAGUAGGAAAUAGUGGCUGAGAUUGUGAGUAGGGGAGUAGAGGCCUCCACAGACUAAAAGAAAUGUCAGAAUAAAAUAAUAAUAUAGCUAAUAUUCAUGAAUACUUACUAAAUGCAAGGCUUUGUGCUAAGUAUUUUC
This 1361-nucleotide long non-coding RNA is filed under the name Homo sapiens (human). RNAcentral's name for it is "non-protein coding lnc-MRPL33-1:4". The record is from RNAcentral. Lineage: Eukaryota; Metazoa; Chordata; Mammalia; Primates; Hominidae.